This is a non-coding RNA of Nylanderia fulva, 686 nucleotides long. Lineage: Eukaryota; Metazoa; Arthropoda; Insecta; Hymenoptera; Formicidae. The record is from RefSeq and is a predicted model, not a curated record.
AAUAUAUUAUAUAUAACUUGAUAUGAUUAUAUAUGAACCCUUAUAAUUUAACUCUUGUUCGCUUGGAUCGAGAGUUAAGUUCAAUAGGUCAUUAUUGACCUUAAAAUUAAUGUUAAAUCCUUCCAUAUUCAGGGCGACAAAUAUGCACAGACCUGCACUGAGAGUAUACCAGUGGGUGCAUUCGUUUAUGCAGUGAUUAGCGCAUCCACUGCGCAUCCACUGCGUCUAUUAUCUGCGAGUCACGUGACAUCAUUUACCGAACGAUCACCUGCGUGAAUUGACUGCUCAGAUUGUAAUUGGAGUGCGCAACGUUUCCAAGUUCAAUUGGCUUAACAAUGGAGAAGACUACAUUCGUUUACGCAGUAGUCCGCAGUACUGCGAGCAAAGCAUCCUAAGCAGGACCUCCGAGAUGGCUGCGCAGAUAGGCAGCAGCUCUGCUUAAACGAACAACAAACUGCGCUGCAGUCGGUUGCGCAGGUGGAGUAAACGAACGACAUUUGCGGCAUUCUGCGGCAGUCACUGCAUAAACGAAUGCACCCAUGAAUGGACUGAGCAUCGCGAUGGGUAAGCGCGCGCCUGCUUUAGAGUGAGAAGUACUACAUCUGAGGCCUAUGUUUGUCUCUCUUUUUGCAGGGCCGUCUAAAAAAAUUGCGGACCAUGUGCAUUUUUCUAUGAAAUGUGUAGUC